UCCCCUAUGGCGCAAUCGGUAGCGCGUCAGACUGUUAAACUAUCACAGUCAACUGAGGCCUCACCACCCUCAGGUGAUUGUGAUAGCUGCCGUCUGGAGGUUCACAGUUCGAGCCUGUGUAGGGAAG
Non-coding RNA from Macroventuria anomochaeta, 127 nucleotides. Lineage: Eukaryota; Fungi; Ascomycota; Dothideomycetes; Pleosporales; Didymellaceae. The record is from the annotation of a RefSeq genome assembly.